RNAcentral lists this ribosomal RNA (574 nucleotides) under Lobosphaera incisa. RNAcentral describes it as "SSU rRNA". It matches the Rfam family "Eukaryotic small subunit ribosomal RNA", at positions 95 to 671 of the family's 1831-position model. Lineage: Eukaryota; Viridiplantae; Chlorophyta; Trebouxiophyceae; Trebouxiales; Trebouxiaceae. The record is from RNAcentral.
GGCUCAUUAAAUCAGUUAUAUUUUAUUUGAUGGUACCUUACUACUUGGAUAACCGUGGGAAUUCUAGGGCUAAUACAUGCUAAAAGCCCCGACUUCGGGAGGGUCGAAUUUAUUAAAUUAAAAACUAAUGGCCUUCGGGGCGCCUCGGUGAAUCACAAUAACUUAACGAAUCGCAUGGCCUUGAGCCGGCGAUGGUUCAUUCAAAUUUCUGCCCUAUCAACUUUCGAUGGUUUAAUAUGGGCCUACCAUGGUUUCAACGGAUUACGGGGAAUUAGGGUUCUAUUCCGGAGAUGGAGCCUGAGAAACGGCUACCACAUCCAAGGAAGGCAACAGGCGCGCAAAUUACCCAAUCCCGACACUGGGGAGGUAUUGACAAUAAAUACCGAUGCAGGGCUCUUUUGGGUCGUGUAAUUGGAAUGAGUACAAUUUAAAUCCCUUAACGAGGAACAAUUGGAGGGCAAGUCUGGUGCCAGCAGCCGCGGUAAUUCCAACUCCAAUAGCGUAUAUUAAAGUUGUUUCAUAUAUAAAUUUCAUAGUUGGAUUUCUGAUCAUUCACGAUGCUGACCGCUCAAAC